UACAGAGGGUGCGAGCGUUAAUCGGAAUUACUGGGCGUAAAGCGUGCGUAGACGGUAGCGUAAGUCAGAUGUGAAAGCCCCGGGCUCAACCUGGGAACUGCAUUUGAGACUGCUCUGCUCGGGUGCGGAAGAGGGAAGCGGAAUUGCGAGUGUAGAGGUGAAAUUCGUAGAUAUUCGCAAGAACACCAGUGGCGAAGGCGGCUCACUGGCCCGGUACUGACGCUGAGGUGCGAAAGCGUGGGGAGCAAACAGG
RNAcentral lists this ribosomal RNA (253 nucleotides) under uncultured bacterium. RNAcentral describes it as "partial 16S ribosomal RNA". It matches the Rfam family "Bacterial small subunit ribosomal RNA", at positions 524 to 776 of the family's 1533-position model. The record is from RNAcentral.